RNAcentral lists this ribosomal RNA (407 nucleotides) under uncultured bacterium. Its description in RNAcentral is "partial 16S ribosomal RNA". It matches the Rfam family "Bacterial small subunit ribosomal RNA", at positions 30 to 526 of the family's 1533-position model. The record is from RNAcentral.
AUUGAACGCUGGCGGCAGGCCUAACACAUGCAAGUAGAGCGGAGCGGCGGACGGGUGAGUGAUGCAUAGGUAUGAGACUGGUAGUGGGGGAUAACGUACGGAAACGGGAGCUAAUUCCGCAUACUAUAAAGUCAGCAUAGGUGGGAUUAGCUAGUUGGGGGGGUAAGGGCAUACCAAGGCGACGAUCCGUAACUGGUCUGAGAGGAUGAUCAGUCACACUGGAACUGAGACACGGUCCAGACUCCUACGGGAGGCAGCAGUGGGGAAUAUUGGACAAUGGGCGAAAGCCUGAUCCAGCCAUGCCGCGUGUGUGAAGAAGGUCUUCGGAUUGUAAAGCACUUUAAGUUGGGAGGCGUUACCAACAGAAUAAGCACCGGCUAACUUCGUGCCAGCAGCCGCGGUAAUAC